CCCCUAGAUGUUCUGGGCCGCACGCGCGCUACACUGAACAGUUCAACAAGUCUUAACCUUGGCCGAUAGGUCUGGGUAAUCUUUGAACGCUGUUCGUGAUUGGGAUAGACCUUUGCAAUUAUGGGUCUUCAACGAGGAAUUCCUAGUAAACGCAAGUCAUCAGCUUGUAUUGAUUACGUCCCUGCCCUUUGUACACACCGCCCGUCGCACCUACCGAUUGAAUGGUCCGGUGAAAUCUCGGGACGGCGGCUUGGUCGCUUGCGUCCGACUGCUGAAACUUGAUUAAACCAUAUCAUUUAGAGGAAGGUGAAGUCGUANCA
RNAcentral lists this ribosomal RNA (320 nucleotides) under uncultured eukaryote. RNAcentral's name for it is "partial 18S ribosomal RNA". It matches the Rfam family "Eukaryotic small subunit ribosomal RNA", at positions 1470 to 1796 of the family's 1831-position model. The record is from RNAcentral.